UAGCCGUAAACGAUACUCGCUAGGUGUCGGCCACGGUGCGACCGUUGUCGGUGCCGUAGGGAAGCCGUGAAGCGAGCCACCUGGGAAGUACGGCCGCAAGGCUGAAACUUAAAGGAAUUGGCGGGGGAGCACCACAACGGGUGGAGCUUGCGGUUUAAUUGGAUUCAACGCCGGAAAUCCUACCGGGACCGACAGCAACAUGAAGGCCAAGCUGAAGACUUUGCCGGAUUAGCUGAGAGGUGGUGCAUGGCGUAGUCGUGU
This 261-nucleotide ribosomal RNA is filed under the name uncultured archaeon. Its description in RNAcentral is "partial 16S ribosomal RNA". It matches the Rfam family "Archaeal small subunit ribosomal RNA", at positions 748 to 1009 of the family's 1478-position model. The record is from RNAcentral.